CAUGAAGUCGGAAUCGCUAGUAAUCGCAGAUCAGCAAAGCUGCGGUGAAUACGUUCCCGGGCCUUGUACACACCGCCCGUCACACCACGGGAGUCGGUCGCGCCUGAAGCCGGUGGCCUAUCAGUAAUGGGGGAGCCGUCUAUGGCGAGAUUGGUAACUGGGGUGAAGUCGUAACAAGGUAUC
RNAcentral lists this ribosomal RNA (183 nucleotides) under uncultured bacterium. Its description in RNAcentral is "partial 16S ribosomal RNA". It matches the Rfam family "Bacterial small subunit ribosomal RNA", at positions 1319 to 1500 of the family's 1533-position model. The record is from RNAcentral.